UUUGGCAGUCAGAAAAUGUCUGAAAACCCCCAGAUACUUCCUGAUCUUGGAAGCUAAUCAGUGCCAGCCCUUGUUAGUACUUGGAUGGGAGACCACCAAUGAAUACCAGGUGCUGUAGGCC
RNAcentral lists this ribosomal RNA (121 nucleotides) under Anolis carolinensis (green anole). Lineage: Eukaryota; Metazoa; Chordata; Lepidosauria; Squamata; Anolidae. The record is from RNAcentral.